This 478-nucleotide ribosomal RNA is filed under the name uncultured bacterium. Its description in RNAcentral is "partial 16S ribosomal RNA". It matches the Rfam family "Bacterial small subunit ribosomal RNA", at positions 28 to 507 of the family's 1533-position model. The record is from RNAcentral.
GAUGAACGCUGGCGGCGUGCUUAACACAUGCAAGUCGAACGAGAAGUGAAGACGGAACCCUUCGGGCGGAAGGCUUUAUUUCGAGUGGCGGACGGGUGAGUAACGCGUGGGUAACCUGCCUCAUACAGGGGGAUAACAGUUGGAAACGACUGUUAAUACCGCAUAAGACCACAGCACCGCAUGGUGCGGGGGUAAAAACUCCGGUGGUAUGAGAUGGACCCGCGUUCGAUUAGCCAGUUGGCGGGGUAACGGCCCACCAAAGCGACGAUCGAUAGCCGAUCUGAGAGGAUGACCGGCCACAUUGGGACUGCGACACGGCCCAAACUCCUACGGGAGGCAGCAGUGGGGAAUAUUGCACAAUGGGGGAAACCCUGAUGCAGCGACGCCGCGUGAGUGAAGAAGUAUUUCGGUAUGUAAAGCUCUAUCAGCAGGGAAGAAAAUGACGGUACCUGAGGAAGAAGCCCCGGCUAACUACGUG